Long non-coding RNA from Brassica oleracea var. oleracea, 549 nucleotides. RefSeq lists it as uncharacterized. The transcript has 2 exons. NCBI's taxonomy places the organism in Eukaryota, Viridiplantae, Streptophyta, Magnoliopsida, Brassicales, Brassicaceae. The record is from RefSeq and is a predicted model, not a curated record.
AAUGAUGAUAAGUUGAUGGAUUUGUUCUGAAAUGUGGAUGUGUUUUGUCUUCACUUAAGGUGCGUGAGUUAGCUGAAAAGGAGCCUGUAAAUGCUGCUGCAGUGAUUUUACCAGAUUCUUGACUAUCAUACUCAUUGGAACAACAUAAUAGCAGGGAACGCCAGAAAAGUGAGUGCAGUCCGGUUUGAAAGAGUUAAAUGAUAUGAAUAAAAUUUUUGAGGCACGCGAUGUAAGAAACAUGGUUCCCAAGUUCGUGAGAAAAUGGAGCAGUGAGGAAGAGUCUGAGGGUAACCAGCAUGCUCGCUCUGAUGAACAUUUAAUUCCUGAAAAUGAAAGUAUGAAAACAGAGUAAUGAUCGUUGUUCCUGUUUUGGAGUAAUGGUUUUAUGCUCUUUCUCUCUGUUUAAGAUAGUUAGCUUCUUUAGCAUCUCAUUCAAAAGUAUGAAAACAGAGUAAUUCAUUAAGUUAUAUAUUUCACCGUUAUUGCGGUCAUAGUGGAUGUAGUCUCACAAGAUGCAAUGAGUAAAGCUAAAUAUAAGCUCCACAGAUC